RNAcentral lists this ribosomal RNA (253 nucleotides) under uncultured bacterium. Its description in RNAcentral is "partial 16S ribosomal RNA". It matches the Rfam family "Bacterial small subunit ribosomal RNA", at positions 524 to 776 of the family's 1533-position model. The record is from RNAcentral.
GACGUAGGGCGCGAGCGUUGUCCGGAUUUAUUGGGCGUAAAGAGCUCGUAGGCGGCUUGUCGCGUCGUCCGUGAAAACCUGCAGCUCAACUGCAGGCUUGCGGGCGAUACGGGCAGGCUAGAGUUCGGUAGGGGAGACUGGAAUUCCUGGUGUAGCGGUGAAAUGCGCAGAUAUCAGGAAGAACACCCGUGGCGAAGGCGGCUCUCUGGGACGGUACUGACGCUGAGACGCGAAAGCGUGGGGAGCGAACAGG